Molecule: ribosomal RNA, 352 nt
Filed under: uncultured bacterium
Lineage: Bacteria
Description: bacterial SSU rRNA
Rfam family: Bacterial small subunit ribosomal RNA
Source: RNAcentral
AUUGAACGCUGGCGGAAUGCCUUACACAUGCAAGUCGAACGGCAGCACGGGAGCAAUCCUGGUGGCGAGUGGCGAACGGGUGAGUAAUACAUCGGAACGUGCCCAAUCGUGGGGAUAACGUAGCGAAGCUACGCUAAUACCGCAUACGAUCUACGGAUGAAAGCAGGGAUCGCAAGACCUUGCGCGAAUGGAGCGGCCGAUGGCAGAUUAGGAGUUGGUGAGGUAAAGGCUCACCAAGCCUUCGAUCUGUAGCUGGUCUGAGAGGACGACCAGCCACACUGGGACUGAGACACGGCCCAGACUCCUACGGGAGGCAGCAGUGGGGAAUUUUGGACAAUGGGCGCAAGCCUGA